This 71-nucleotide transfer RNA is filed under the name Bacteroidales bacterium. RNAcentral's name for it is "tRNA-Gln". It matches the Rfam family "tRNA". Rfam says of the family: Transfer RNA (tRNA) molecules are approximately 80 nucleotides in length. Their secondary structure includes four short double-helical elements and three loops (D, anti-codon, and T loops). Lineage: Bacteria; Pseudomonadati; Bacteroidota; Bacteroidia; Bacteroidales. The record is from RNAcentral. RNAcentral also lists the same sequence under 2 other names.
UGUCCUAUGGUGUAAUGGUAGCACUAGAGUUUUUGGUUCUCUCAGUGGUGGUUCGAAUCCGCCUGGGACAA